ACAUAUUUAUUCUCUCCCUUUGUAAAUUUCUAAUGGAUUUUCUGUUUUCUUACAGCAAAGAUAUUCUCUGCACACCAUCAAAAAAAAAAAAAAAAGGCCAAAACAGAAUUUCAAGGAGGCUACCUGAAACUAAUCGAUUUAAGUCUUGAGGCUUGAGAAAAGAGUGAACAAGGUCGAGCAGUAUUACUUGGGGAAAGGCAGUCUGCAACCAACCACUUCGAAGGAGAAAGACAGAGAUAAGCAUUUUAAUGCAAUUAAGAAGCAGCAGCAAGAUGCAUCACGUGGGGAAGCCGCUGCUGCAAAGAGGAUGCGAGAUCUGUUGAAUUAGUUUUCCGCAAUCUUCAAAC
Rosa chinensis is the source of this 347-nucleotide long non-coding RNA. RefSeq lists it as uncharacterized. The transcript is spliced from 2 exons. The record is from RefSeq and is a predicted model, not a curated record. Lineage: Eukaryota; Viridiplantae; Streptophyta; Magnoliopsida; Rosales; Rosaceae.